AACAUCACGAAGUCGCUCUCCACCCCAUCGGCUCGACUUAGCAAACAUCAAAGGUACUCUUUCUUGUCCUGACCUCACUCUGGUAAUGGUUCCUACUCUUCAGUAAAUGAGAGAGAGCCCUAAGCCGCUGCCCUCUCCUCCUCUCACUCCUAUCCGUUAUUCUUCUUUUUCUUGGAAGAAUAGGUGACGGCGCCUGGCGGAGGCAGAGGCAAAGGCGAGGUCACGGGUUCGACGAUGCGUGGGUCUUCUUCUCCUCAGCACACGACGGAGGCGAGAUCUGGCUACACUUUCCUAAUUGCAAAUGCUGCAAGGGUGAGAGCCUUCUUUGGAUGCCCAGUUGAUGAACGCAAGGACUUUCUGCUGCAAAUGAUGUAUAGUCCUCAGGACUGUUGAGGUACUUUGUAAAAUUGCAGAUAAGUGAGUCUAGGCUUCAAAAGUGAUGUUAAUUUAACAUACCAUAGUUGCAGCAAGAAUAAAAAAUAAUAAUAAUUCAGUGUAACAAACAUUUAUAGUUUUUUCAGAUGACUGUGUUCGGUUGUUUUGAUUAUCAAGUUAAUAGAUAGAAUCAUUUUCUA
Long non-coding RNA from Humulus lupulus (European hop), 575 nucleotides. RefSeq lists it as uncharacterized. The record is from RefSeq and is a predicted model, not a curated record. The transcript is spliced from 2 exons. Lineage: Eukaryota; Viridiplantae; Streptophyta; Magnoliopsida; Rosales; Cannabaceae.